Chelmon rostratus (copperband butterflyfish) is the source of this 309-nucleotide long non-coding RNA. RefSeq lists it as uncharacterized. The transcript is spliced from 3 exons. The record is from RefSeq and is a predicted model, not a curated record. NCBI's taxonomy places the organism in Eukaryota, Metazoa, Chordata, Actinopteri, Chaetodontiformes, Chaetodontidae.
CUAAGACUUGCAGCUACUUCUGGACCCAAUAAACUAACACCGGGUUUGCCACAUAGGCAUGUAAAUCUGACACACGACUGCAGCUGCACACGUCUGAUUCGAAGGCCUCAACCUUACAUACCAAGAGCAAGUUACCUCCUUCAGCUGAUCCAGCUCAUGUCGGACCGUCUCGUACUCCGUCUCCAACUCAUCAAACUGCUGCUUGAGCUGCUGUUUCUCCUCCAGCACCGCCAGCCCAUACUCAGCCGCCUGGAUCUUCUCAUGGGUCGUUUCGCGGAGCUCCCGGAGUUCGACAGUGCUCAACCUAGA